Molecule: long non-coding RNA, 1028 nt
Organism: Oncorhynchus tshawytscha (Chinook salmon)
Lineage: Eukaryota; Metazoa; Chordata; Actinopteri; Salmoniformes; Salmonidae
Source: Ensembl
GCCGUAGCCUACAAAGGUCCUUCACCGCCAUCUGCUGUUCGACACCCCACGAAACACAAACGCUCCUCUCCAAUGAGUGAGUAGCAACCUCUAUAGUGGUCUCCAUUCUCUACGAACCAGUUAGUCGAGAAGCCAUUCUUCUGGAGGAGACUGCGGUGGGAGGCUGAAAAUAUGUCUGGAGUUGCAGAUGUGAACAUUGGGAUCUUUCCCUCACAUAGCCAGUCCAGCGCUACUCUGUCCAGCAAAGAUCUUCAUUUACAUUUUAUAUAGCACUAAUAAAGCUGUACAUGGGUGGAAACAGAAACUCUCCUUGUCCAUUAACAAUGUGUGGCUGGGUGGGAAAUCUCUCAAAGCAAAACCACGAGCCUCUGACACCAAAACAUUCCAUUACAGCUAAUGCUUUAGGGAAGUGGUCAACAGAGAUGGUGCCUAGCCUAUACAAUGGCCUAUACAAACAUUGAACUGUCAAGCAAGCAAACCAUUUAUCUGAAUUGGCAUCUCCUGAAACUGAACUGUUUCUGCGUAAACAUUAUAUUUUUCUCUUUUUUGUUUUUCUCUGAUAUAUAGGUGACAAGUAAGUUUGCCUAUGUGUUGUCAUUGCAUGGACUUUGGUCAUUCAUGAUAUAGAUAUAGGCUAAUGUCACCAUUCCAUAGUCCAUGAUAUCUUGGGGAGACUUUGAGAUUGGCUCAUUUGGCUGAUACUGUAUCUGCACACAGCCACGAGCCAUCUGUCUGUACACUGUGACAGUCUAGUCAUCUAUAAACCAAACCACUACCCUGCUUCUGUUAUGCUACUGGCUGACUGCCCCUGGCUGACUGCUACUGUCUGACUGCUACUGUCUGACUGCCCCUGGCUGACUGCCCCUGGCUGACUGCUACUGGCUGACUGCCACUGGCUGACUGCCCCUGGCUGACUGCUCUUGGCUGACUGCUACUGGCUGACUGCCCCUGGCUGACUGCUCUUGGCUGACUGCUACUGGCUGACUGCUCUUGGCUGACUGCCCCUGGCUGACUGCCACUGGCUGACU